CACAGAGGAGUAGAGGCGAAGCAGACGAAUUUUAAUAAUAAUUUUUAAUUUAACUAAAACAAGAAGAUCAAAAUGUAGAAUAUUCUAUGUCCUAUUUAUUUAUCCUCUCUAAAUACUGUUGGUCUGUGGAUGUGAAACUGUUGUUCGUGAAUGAAUAGCUGUGUUUUGGAAUAACACACAACACACAACCGACUGAUAAGUACAAAUAAUAAGUGUCUGUGUGAUCAACUUGCUUCUAAUGAGAAAGGGGACAGAUGAAAUAGUUUAUAGGUUAUGCUCUGAUAAAUAUUUAUGCCUCAACAUUUUGACUAUUGGCUAGCAAAAUUAUUCAAACUAUUUUGAUUGUGUAUUGCUUAUGAAUAAACGAGUGCAUAAGACAUUGAUAAAUGAACAGUAUAUAACCCAAUUUACAUGUUAACUCUGAACUACUUCAAGGUCAUAGUAGUUUUGAUUUUGUUCAGAUGUAAUUUUUUAAAGAUUUUGUUAAGGUGCUAAGGCCCUCUUGGUCUACAAUAUAUUCUCUAUCUGGAGAUAAUAUAAGUUGAAGAUCAGUUAGAAAAGUACCUGAAGAACAGUGUCUGUUAUCUGCCAGGACAUGGGUUCCAACGGAUCAAAGCUUGUAAAAAAGAUAUUCACCUCAUCCUCCAACCCAAGUGUAUACUCUGACUGUGAUUGUCAGCCCCAUUUCUCGGAAUCAACGAAAACAAUGGCUGGACCAAUUGUUUUAUCUAGACAAGGAUCAAUGUUUUUUGAUGAAGAUGGGGAUUUAGCUCAUGAAUUCUACGAAGAAGUCAAACCCAACAAAAGAGGAUCGAAAGCAAAAAUGAAGAGGAUACAAACAAAUCUAGUACCAC
This is a long non-coding RNA of Macrosteles quadrilineatus (aster leafhopper), 854 nucleotides long. RefSeq lists it as uncharacterized. The transcript is spliced from 3 exons. The record is from RefSeq and is a predicted model, not a curated record. Lineage: Eukaryota; Metazoa; Arthropoda; Insecta; Hemiptera; Cicadellidae.